AUCUAAUUAAUUUCUUCUUGCAUUUUAGUGAAACAAGCUUGGAAGAAGUUAGAAACAACUUAUGAGGGAGCAAAUCAAAAGAAGGAAUCAAGCUCCUAAGAAGAUAAGGAAGCUCUAUCCAACUUAUGCCUCAUGGCUCAUGAGGAUAAAAAGAAGAUAAAAAAGAAGAAACAAAAGAAGAAAAAAACAUUGAUUAAGAAGAAGCA
This 206-nucleotide long non-coding RNA is filed under the name Elaeis guineensis (African oil palm). RNAcentral describes it as "long non-coding RNA (EGUI_LNC014676)". The record is from RNAcentral. Lineage: Eukaryota; Viridiplantae; Streptophyta; Magnoliopsida; Arecales; Arecaceae.